UAAUACGUAGGGGGCGAGCGUUGUCCGGAUUUACUGGGCGUAAAGCGCGUGUAGGCGGCUUGUUAAGUCGGGUGUGAAAGCCCGGGGCUCAACCCCGGGAUGCCGCCCGAGACUGGGAAGCUUGAGGACGGAAGAGGGGCGUGGAAUUCCUGGUGUAGCGGUGAAAUGCGUAGAGAUCAGGAGGAACACCCGUGGCGAAGGCGGCGCCCUGGUCCGUCCCUGACGCUGAGACGCGAAAGCGCGGGGAGCGAACGGGAUUAGAUACCCCGGUAGUCCGCGCCGUAAACGAUGGUCACUAGGUGUGCGUGGUAUCGACCCCACGCGUGCCGCCGCUAACGCAGUAAGUGACCCGCCUGGGGAGUACGGCCGCAAGGUUG
Molecule: ribosomal RNA, 377 nt
Filed under: uncultured bacterium
Lineage: Bacteria
Description: bacterial SSU rRNA
Rfam family: Bacterial small subunit ribosomal RNA
Source: RNAcentral